Molecule: long non-coding RNA, 8176 nt
Filed under: Equus caballus (horse)
Lineage: Eukaryota; Metazoa; Chordata; Mammalia; Perissodactyla; Equidae
Description: lncRNA (ENSECAG00000043865.1)
Source: RNAcentral
GGGCGCGGGAGCGGGCGGAACCUCAGGAAGAGGGCUGAGAAAGGGCAGUGACCCUGGGCAAGGUCACUAGUGGGCCUGGGCCUGGGAUGCAGGCAGUGUGACUGGGAGGCCUGCCUGAGCUUGUCCCACCAUCUCAGGUUUCGAGCAGAUCCCUCUGGGCCUGGGUUGGCCUGUGUCCCUGAGGAGGCCCCCUCUGCCCCGCAGCCGCAGCCCCCACCCAGCCCGAGGUGGGCGGAGAGGCCUCCGUCUCAGGCAGGCGCAGCACCUGCCCAGGGGCUCCAUAAAUGUCUGACUUAAUCGGAGCCAGGCAAGGGCUGCUGCGGGCUCAGAUGCCAGCUCCCUUGCCCUCUGAGGAGGAUGCGAAGUCACCAGUGGGCUUUCCCUGUCUUGGCCCUGUACACUGAGAACUGGGGGCAGGUGUCGGCGCUGUGCAUUGUUUCUGUUAUUCCAUAACUGUGGAGUGAUCACCUACUAUGUGCUAGGCACUGUUCUAGGUGCUGGGGAUACAGCGGGGAACUAAAAAGACAAAAUUCCUGCCUUAGUGGAGCUUAUAUUUUAGUCGGGAUAAAUAAGCAAAAUAAACGAGAAGGUAAAAUUGGCUAUUUGAAGAAACAGAGCAGGGUAGAGUGAGGAGAAUGAAGAGCUGAGGAGGUGGAGGGUGUUGCAGUUUUAAAUGGGACGGUCAAGGAUGGCCUCACUGAGAUGACAUUUGACAAAGACUUGAAGGAAGUGAGACAGAGCCAUGAGGAUAUCCCUGGGGAAGAGCAUUCGAGGCAGAGGAAACAGCAAGUACAAAGGUCCUGAGAUCUUUUUGGUGAGGCGUAUUUUGGGCAUAUUUGGUGAGUUGGAGGAAAAGCAAAGAGACCAGAGCGGCUGGAGUGGAGUAACUGGGAGGAGGGAAAUAGGAGAGCUCACAGGUGGGAGUAGGUGUUGUCGUUCAUGUAGGGUCUUGUGGGCCAUUAUAAAGACUUUGGCUUUUAUUCUGGUGAAAUGGGGCGUCCGUGCAGGGCUUUUAACAAAAGAGUGUCUUGGUCUGACCUACAUUUUAGGAAUAUCAGUGUGGCUGCAGUGCUGAGAAUACUGCUAAUAGUUCAGGAAAGAGAUGGUGGUGGAUGGACCAGGGUGAUAGCUGCGGGGGUGGGGAGUGUAUUGGAUGCUGGAUACUGCAUCUGAGGAUGGAGCUGACAGUCUGGAAUGCCAGGGAGGAGGAAGCAUCAAGUCAUAAUCAGCAUCAUCCCUUCUAGGGGUACCUGACUCUAGCUUUCCAAGAGUUCUCACAUGCAGGUUCGUCUCUCAUCCCCUGGCAGCCUUGAGGCUGUUCUUGGGAAGAACAGAUGUUGUGGACCCUGCUGACCAAUGAGGAAGCUGAAACUCAGGCUGUAAGAGAUGUGAGAAGGGAAGAUGAAGAGAUGCCUUCUGACGACCAGCAUAACCUCAGGCACUCCCAAAGACCUAUGGCUGAUAAGUUCCAAGAUAAGGCCUGUGUCUUCAUGAGGGCAGAGUGAAGCCGGAAUCCUGCCUCAGCAUGUGCUGCCUGGGCAGUGGCUUUCGCCUCUCCAUGCCUAGAGACAUACCGGUGAUGGCAUGAGGAGACGGUCCCCAAAUUGUCUUCCGGGCAUUGGUAUUACAGGUUUGACAAUGAUGUGGAAAACCACACCCUGUAGGCCGAAUCCAGCCUUGAGGCCUGGUGAUACCCGGCAGGAAAGAAGCGAAGUGGAAGAUGGCUCAGGAAGUCUGACUCCAGGCUAAUUCCUUGAGGAAAGCUGGCUUGCCAGGAGCGGUGGAGGCAAGCUGUUGGCUCAGAGUGAAGGUAAUUGGACCAGAGAUGCACCUGUGACCAAUCCUUUCCUGGAAAUUAGAAAUUAACUGAGACAGCCCUAUGAGUGACUAGACCCUAAGGGUGAACUUGGUACCCAAGGGCAGCCCUGUUCUGCCAUGUGGCCUGGGGAGCAGAGGAAGCCAGUCUGCAGAAAGAAGAAAAGUGAAUCAGAAACACAGGGAAGCCCAGAGAUGGGAGGUGGAGAGAGAAUCUGUUCCAAGAUGCCCUCCAGGCCUUGCACUACCGGCCCUGCCUCUCUCUCAGACUUAACUCAGGACAUCGGCUCUGGCUCAUUGGACUGCAGGCAGAUUCAUCUUCAAGCAAGCACAGCAUGGUCCCACCUGAGGUUUUACACACGCUGUUCCCUCUGCCUGGCACUCUUGCCCGCUGUCUUUCCCAUGCUGCCUCUUUCUUGACAAUCAGGAAUGUUCUUAAAUGUCUCUUUCUCAGAAAGUGAUGCUCCAAAGCGGCCCCUCCUCCAGGCACACUCGAUCACAUUAGCCUGCUCUGCUGCCUUCCCUGCACGUGUCAUCUUCAGUGCCCUCACAGGGAUUUAUUUUCUUACUGGUUUGCCAUAAGCUCCUUGAGAGCAGAGAUCCUGUAGGUUUGUUCAUCACUGGAUCUCCAGGCCCUUGAACAUGGCCUGGCACAUGUAGUGGUAUCUCAAUAAACGUUAGUUGAAGGAAGGAUCACUUCCCCAUCCUUCCUGAGGACCAGCAUCCUUCCAGGCUUCAGGUUGCAGGAGACUCCCCAGCCUGUGUUCUCUGAUAACAAACGUCCUUCCUGGCAGACGCAUGUGGAUUCCUGAUGGACUCCUAAGGGGUUCAGCCUUGUCUACAGAUAAGGAAACUGAGACCCAAGUGACUUUCCCGGGGUUAUGUGACCAGUUAGUUGGGCAGUGGGGACAAGAGAACUAAGCUUUCAGGCCACUGCUGCAUCCCCAGGGGACUCACUCUCCUGACCGUGGGUCGCAGCCCAGGGCUCUCCCCACAGCAAGGUGGUCAAGUCAACCUCAGGCCUGUGUGCUUCCUGUUGCAAGCUUUUAAUAAAUCAGUUUCUUUUCAAAACACUGCCCAGAAUAGUCUGUGGUCUCCCAGCAGAAAGAUGCCGACAGCUCUGUCUAUUCUAGGAAGUUAUUUUAUUUUCUGAUGAAUAUAGUGGGAAUGGAUGCUUUGAAUGUCUCAGUUGCUGAAGGAACAUGAAAGAUAUGACACUGCUCCUGCCCCACCCAGAUUUCUUUUUCAAGAUGUCCUUUUGUUCAGCCUCUGUUUUGCUGUAGUCCUGGGAAGCUGAUCCUCUUGCCCAGAGGAAAACACAGUCCUAACUGCUGUGUGUAGAACGCUCUUCUAAGGAGCUCUCCCAAGGAAAUGGGACCCUUGCACUUGGCCUGGGAACUCAACAAUUGUGUGUUGAAUGGCUGACUUGGCCAUGACUGCCAGAGUGACUGUUAUCAGACUCGGAGAUGGCGCUGGUCAGGGAAGGCAGGAAGCACAAAGCGUGGACUGAGAUGCCCUUACUCGUGGGAGGCAGAAUAGCCAUUUGUCAUGCUUUGUGGCCACCUGGGAUCUUUAUCUCCUUUCCUGUAUUUGGAGAAUCCCCUACCUGAUGAGGCAGAACCUUCCUCCCACUGGAGAAGCUGAAAAGGCCAGGCACUGACUGUGCCAGACUCCCUUGUGAUUCCAGGGAGGGCGGGUAACCUCAGCUCUGCUGGACAGACACCACUGAGUCCAGGGGCAGCUGCAUCCCAAUUUGGUCAAGGUUGUCCAGGCAGCUGUGGGUGGAGUCGGUCCAGGGGCACCUGGGUAUCCAUGCCCAGCAGUGGCGCAGUGGUGUCUCUCCUUGCCAGACCAGCCCUGAGGGGGAUUUCCAGCCUCUGUCCCUGGCUGCCCAGCCUCCCAGCCUGGUCCUCGUCCUCCCAGAGACUGUGAACCACUUGAGAUUAAUUCUGUUUCUGCCUGAAUGAGCCAGGUUUGGUUUCUGUGGCUUGUAAUGGAGAACAGGACAAAGGGGAGACUUCCUGAAGGAGGGCCAGGCAGUGGCGGGGCGUGAAGAGGGGCACAGCACCCCGGUGGAGGACAUGGCAUUUGAGCAGGAAGAGACGCCGCAGCACCUUGUCCUUCAGACCGAGUCACAAGCUGUGUGGAGGGAAGUGAGUCACAGAGCGGGUCAGAUUGUCCUCCAGCUCCUCGCAGGGGUUACAAAGGGUCACGGGAAUCAGGAACAGGCUGGAGGGACUUCCUGCAGGGCUGGCUUUCUUCCCUUCGCUGCUUUUGAGCUUUUCACUCAAGAACAUCGGGCUUUCCUCCUGUGAUGAGCUCAGCCUCAUCAGAGGCAGCUUCUCAGGUUUGACUGGGGGACCUCAGGGUGCUCCCCUACCUUGAACCCACAGAAUUGCUAUUGUCUGAGAGAGGCCAUGGAGCUGCAUUUGCUGAGUUCCAGUGGCCGCUGGGGCAUUUGGUUCCUGAAAUCAGAGAAGAGCUUUGAUUUUUCUCUCAGAGACCCUUGGGGAUCAAGACUUAGCUCCUGGCAGGAUCACCUCCUGCAUGAUCGCCAGAAUUCCUGGGCCCUAGUCGGGAUGCAGUUUCCCAGGGCUUCUUUCCCACCGCAGGCCUGAUCAGCAGAUGCUCCUGCUGCCCAGGGAGGUGUGGGAGGGCACCGAGGAGAAACUUCACUGACAUCAUGAUUUUCCGAGACCAGGCCUGAACUAGUUCCUGGUGGUUGAGAAUGUCAGGGCUGGAGGGAAGCGCCUGAGAGCAGACAGUCAAGCAGCACAGAGAAGGAAACCAGGACAGGACCUCAAGGAGAUGCGUCUGCCGUCUGGAAGAAGAUUUCUGAAAAUACAAAACAUGAUGUCAAGGGGGAGCAAUCUCUGAGGGUCUUUUCUCCAGACUAUGGUAUCUUUGGAAUGGAAACCACACAGCUGCAUGAUGAUGCAGGAGGUUGCCAGAUUUCAUUCCAUGGUCCUGACCGCAGUCCAGGUUUGAUCGUCAGCUAUUUAACACACAAGAAGCAGACGAUGUUUAUGACUUCAGACAGCGGCCUUGAUUUCACAGAGAAAAUAGGAAAGCUUAUUAUUUUGCACAUGAACCGUGAGAAGCAGACCAGCUUACUCCCACGAAGGCUGGUCACCUGGUGCCCUGAUGAAGAUUUCUCAGAGGGAAUGUGUGGCCCCUCAUCCCAGUGGCUACCUAGUCACUUCUCAAGAAAGUACAGUGCUCUGAUGACUGGGCGGACGUGCGCGGCCUCUGACUGCGGCCGUGGUGAUGUUCUCUCACACUGUAAAGGGGAGGAACGGGCCCCAGCAUGGAGACUGAUGGAAUCAACACGACUCUGCUGUAAUUUGCAUUCCUUUCUUUCUCAAGGAUGGAAAUUAAUAUUUGGCAUCUAUGAGCCUUUUUUCGAACUUAUCUAAGAAUAAAACCCUCAUUGUUGGAUGCCAUGUCUUGAUAAUAAAUGGCAACAUUAUUCCAUUAUUCUGCAACGCCACAGGGACUCGCCCGGCCCAGGGCGGGUGAAGGUUGGGGGAGGGAAGAGGAGCUUCCUGGGUGAAGAGGCCUCAGCAACACGAAGCCAGGUUGAGGUAUUUCAUCCUCGCUGCUCACAUCAGAGCACAACAGUGUUUUGACCCGUGGGAAAGCACUUUGAAAACAUCUGCCUUUCCAUUUUUCUUCUCUUUGAUUUCACUGAAUUCAAUUCCAUACGUGGUUAUUAAGCAGCUACUAAAUAUCAGGAUGGUGCUGAAUUCCCUCCCUCUCCAUCCCAACCAAGCAAACAAAAGAGGAGGAGGAUGUCCCUGUCCUCCUGGAGGUUGGGAUCUGCUGGGGAGACAGACGGAUGUUUAAAAUGGCCAGACAAGAACACAGGCCAGAGCAGAUCAGCUGCGGAGUGGCCAUUGAUGUCGUUUCUGCCUAUCUCCAGUCUCUAUCUUCUGGUUCCGUCCCAUUUGGCUUUCGAGGAAUCGCCUCAAACCAGCAUCAUUCAGGGCCUGUCGGGGGAGAUGCCAGCCCUCCUCCAGCCAGGGCUGGGCACGUGGCCGCCAGGCAGCUCGACCCUCCUCCCAGGCCGGUGAGUCUUGCCUGGAGGGACACAAGGAUAAAGGAAGAGGAAACACACUCACACAUACUCAUUCACAUCCCUCUUCAGACUGUUCAGCACAGAGGCCCAGAUGAGACAGCCCACCUCCUUUUGUUCCCCAGACCCCAAGGGUCAGCCCAGGUUCCUGCCUGUUCCAAGCCAGCUUCUGUGUUCCUUUGGUUCUGUGGUUCUCCUAUUUCCUGUCAUCCAUUCCCUUUGUGCUCAGAGGUAGUUUUUGUUGCUUUCAAACAAAGAACCUGAGUGGGACACCUGGCAAGUUAUUUUUAUGUCCAUCAGAGUUGGAAAAGAUUAGAGAACAUGACUAGCGCUCAGGGAGACUGACAGAACUGUCCAGAGCCCAGACUCAGACAGAGAAAUGCUGGCCCUGCAGCUGUGAACUCUGAAAACAGAAGAAAGACUGCCUGAAAUAUAGAGAGCAUGGAACCCUUCUGUGUUGGUCAGAUGAACAGAGAUCUUUAUUUUAUUUUAUUUUUGAGGAAGAUUAGCUCUGAGCUAACAUCUGCUGCCAAUCCUCCUCUUUUUGCUGAGGAAGACUGGCUCUGAGCUAACAUCCACACUCAUCUUCCUCUACUUUAUAUGUGGGACGCCUGCCACAGCAUGGCUUGCCAAGCGGUGCAGUGUCCGCACCCGGGAUCUGAACUGGCAAACCCUGGGCCACCAAAGCGGAACGUGCAAACUUAACCACAGCGCCAUGGGGCCAGCUCCUGAACAGAGAUCUUAAUAUCGCCUCCCUGCUCUUCACCCCCUGCAUGCUCAGUACAGGACAUCCCACACAGUGGGAGUCACUGCUCAGAGGAAGCCUGUGGAUGGAUUCAGUUCCAUAGGUCACUCAUUGUGCCAGGUCCACGAGCCCCCAAAGGCCUGGCGGCCUGUCUGAACUCCGUACAUCUGCUAACCACCCUGGGGAUCAUCUGGGUUAAAAUCUUAAUCCUCAGGCAGCCUCCUCUCACCACCCCGUGUGCUCAGAGGGGGCUGUCUCCCCUACCAGUUGUUAAGGGAAUGUUUCAAAACUGGUUUGAACAAAAUGACUGAGGUGCUGUCUGUUGCUUGUGGCUCUCUGUCUCCUUGUAUCUCUGUCCCUCUCCUCCAGGUUAUGUAAUCAAGAACUGGCUGCUCUUUGCCGGGGGGACUAGGCCUACGUUGCCUUUUACAAAUCAUUAUGAAAUAUCUCCAACAUACGACAAGGCUUCAGGAAUACUACUGUGAACACCUGUGUGCUACCACUAAGCUCAAGAAAUAACACAUUAGGAACACAGUUGGGGCUCCUGUAAAUGCCUGCCAAGAGAGCCCCAGACUCUAACCCAGAGCUUUGCAGCUUCUCAUAGGUUUGGGAUCAAUAGCAGUUCAAGACGGGCCGCAGCUACACACAGCUUCUGUCUCCACUCAGGUCUACAAGAUUAAUAAUUAUUGUCCAGAUGACUAUAUUUCUCUGCAUCCAGAAUGAGUCACCAGUGGCAAGAUCAACACGGGCAGGCCUGUGUGGGGAGCUGAAAUUUUGGCUGUGCCCCCUUCUCAUCCUAAUAAUAACCACACAGUCGAGGUGGGGGGUGUUAUGACAUAUUGCCCAGACCCAUGACCUUCCCCUCUGCGCGGACCUCCUACAGAGCCACCACGCCCAACUUCUUCAGGCCGUGCUGGCUCUUCCCCCUCUUGGCUCCCUCUUUAAGCUCUGUAGUAUAUUACUGGCCUUAGGCCCUCCCUCAAUGUUUGUAAUCUAUGAAUAACUACUGUAAUUUUUGAGUAGCAGACACGUUAUACAGAAUUUACAGUAUAAAGAAUUACCCCAAAGAAUGUUCCAGUCUUCUACAGCCUGAGGGCCUGUUACAGAAGGAAACUGACUAAAGGAUUACAGUAACCUUAUCCUUAUUUUGCAGAUGGGGAAACUGAGGCCCAGAGAGCCCUGACCCCACAAUGGCGAGAACUUGGGCAGUAUUGGGGGUAGGGGUAUUAAACUUGCUGAGAAGGUGGGAUUUGAGGCAGAGUUCUGCCCAGACCUUCCACCAGGCUGAUGCUGACGUUCUGCCAGGCUAAUCCCUCCACUGUUUGGUGGUUUUUAGCCACUCGUGGUCAUGCUACAUUGUUCAAUGGAGGGACGCAGGGUGGCCUUAGUCUGUUUCCUGUGAGUUCUCCACGAGUACCAACUGCAGCCUCCAACUAACAAUUUGCAAAGUACUGACUGGUAUGUUGGUACAAUUUGCAAAGUACUGACUGGUGGUUUUGCUCAGCUGUAUCAUCUGUGACUAUGACAGUCUGAUAGAAUAA